This 351-nucleotide ribosomal RNA is filed under the name uncultured bacterium. RNAcentral describes it as "partial 16S ribosomal RNA". It matches the Rfam family "Bacterial small subunit ribosomal RNA", at positions 338 to 681 of the family's 1533-position model. The record is from RNAcentral.
CCUACGGGAGGCAGCAGUGGGGAAUAUUGCGCAAUGGGCGAAAGCCUGACGCAGCGACGCCGCGUGAGGGAUGAAGGUCUUCGGAUCGUAAACCUCUGGCAGCAGGGAAGAACGGUCACUGGGCUAAGCAGCAGUGAAUUGACGGUACCGGCAAAGGAAGCACCGGCUAACUCCGUGCCAGCAGCCGCGGUAAUACGGAGGGGGCGAGCGUUAAUCGGAAUUACGGGGCGGAAAGCGCUCGUAGGCGGUAUGUCCAGGCAAGGGUGAAAUCCCCGCGCUCAACGUGGGAACUGCCUUUGAUUCUGGCAACCUGGAGUGUGUGAGAGGCUAGUGGCAUUCCAGGUGUCGGCG